RNAcentral lists this ribosomal RNA (468 nucleotides) under uncultured bacterium. RNAcentral describes it as "partial 16S ribosomal RNA". It matches the Rfam family "Bacterial small subunit ribosomal RNA", at positions 28 to 507 of the family's 1533-position model. The record is from RNAcentral.
GACGAACGCUGGCGGCGUGCCUAACACAUGCAAGUCGAACGGAAAGGCCCUGCUUUUGUGGGGUGCUCGUGUGGCGCACGCGUGAGUAACACGUGAGUACCCUCCCCCUGACUUUCGGAGAACUUCAGGAAACUGGGGCUCUUACCGCAUAGGAUCUUCUGCUCCAUGGUGGGCGUUGGAAAGAUUCGGCGGUUGUGGAUGGACUCGCGGCUUAUCAGCUUGAUGGUGGGGUUGUGGCUUACCAAGGGUUUGACGGGUAGCCGGCAUGAGAGGGUGACCGGCGACAAGGGGCCUGAGAGACGCAGCAGUCUCCUACGGGAGGCAGCAGUCGGGAAUAUGGCACAGUGGCGGGGAGUCUGAUGCAGCGACGCCGGGUGCGUGAAGAUGGCUUUCGGGUUGAGAACCGCUGUCGCCGGAGACGAAGCGUGAGUGACGGUAAUGAGUAAAGAAGCACCGGCUAACUACGUG